UUCAGAUAUGUUCUAUAGUAUUCAUUAACACGAACUCUUAAAAAAGCUGAGAUUUGCACAACUUUACGCGGUAGCACCUAAUGAGGGUUAUUUAGAUGUAAAACGGAAACCUCUUAGUCUUUUCAAGCUGUGAUAUCACGUUAAGAACCGUUUUAUCCUCUUGAAUUUUUAGAAUAGGUUUCAUAUUGGUUUUAUGUAUAGUAUUCAUUAACAGUUGCUAAUUAGUUAUAUAUACCUGCUGGGAUUGAGAAGCGAAAAACGCGGACAAGGGGUCGGGGGUGAUUGCAGAAGGCGCGGAGUGCAAACGAUCGGCGGCGGCCGCGGCAGCAGAGAGGCCUCCGUCCCAAGAGGGCAUGAAGGGAUGAGUCUGAUGGAGUAGCUGGGGAAGCGCGGCGGGUCGAGCCAUGGAGCUCAUGUCCAACAUACCCAUCCCCAUACCCAUUCCCAUCCCGAUGUUCAUCGGGGUCAUCAUUGACAUUUGAAGCUGUUGUUGCAUCGCCAUUGGUAGCAUCAUUGCUGGCUGCAUGUUCAUCCUGUUCAUCAUCUGGACUUGAGCUUGCAGUUGCUUCAAAUAAUCAAUCACUUCAUCCAGCAUUGAUGCCUUGUCAGUCUACAUGCAAAAUUAAAGAGGCUGAUUGUUAGUAAAGUUGGGUGGAAAUGUCUUUUCUUUCUUUCUUUCUUUCUUUCUGUUCAUGAGUUGGUCCCAUUUGUAUUUAGUAAUAUAUAUUGGAAAUAAUAUAUAUAUAUAUAUGGACUAGGAUCGAUUUUGUUGAGAUAGAAUUAAAGUCGACACCACGUCAGUGUUUUGGUGCUUAAUUAUGGACCAUAUAUGCAAAUCCUAAAUCACUUAUCUCUUCCGAUUUAAUCCAACUAAAUAUCUCAUCCAUAUUAAACUUGUACAUAUAUCGCGUUGAGUGAUGUUAAAAUAAUUACGAAUUUUAGUAAGUUUCGAACUCAAAAUCUCUCGAAACCGACUAAUAUUCUCCCACUCGAGAAUAAAACCCUAAAUUAGUUAGGGAAAGGAUAAGAAGUGCAAUUAGAAAUAUUCAUAUUCUUUUGCAGUCAAUUUGAGGGAGGUUGAGAAUAUUAAAUAUCAGGAUCUCUACUUUGUAGUGGGGCUGGGUUCAUUCAUUUCAAACCAUUGAUUGGCCUGCAAUAUUCUUUCUCUUUUGCUGAUUCCUCAUUUCUCAUUCCCCUUCCAUACUGGAAUACAACACCUCACAGUUUGGCCAGUGAAAAAGGAAAAAAGAAAGAAAACAACACAGCUCUUAAUUAGCAUAUUCAUAUGCUCUGUACAUACCUUGCUGGAACAUAAAAAAAAAGUUCUUGGAACCAGAUCCAGGCGGCUUCUGAUGAAGCUGUUGGUACAAUGCAGCCAUUCUGCUGUAUGCAUCCAUGUUCAUGGCCGGCUGCUGCUGCUGCUGCAACCAAUUUUUUCAUAACAUUAUUUUAUUAAUUUUAUUUAUUUACGAACCGUUUCCUCCCAAUAACUCGAAUCGUUAGGAGAGGGUUCAGAUAUGUUCUAUAGUAUUCAUUAACACGAACUCUUAAAAAAGCUGAGAUUUGCACAACUUUACGCGGUAGCACCUAAUGAGGGUUAUUUAGAUGUAAAACGGAAACCUCUUAGUCUUUUCAAGCUGUGAUAUCACGUUAAGAACCGUUUUAUCCUCUUGAAUUUUUAGAAUAGGUUUCAUAUUGGUUUUAUGUAUAGUAUUCAUUAAC
This 1722-nucleotide long non-coding RNA is filed under the name Linum usitatissimum (flax). Its description in RNAcentral is "long non-coding RNA (LUSI_LNC005307)". The record is from RNAcentral. Lineage: Eukaryota; Viridiplantae; Streptophyta; Magnoliopsida; Malpighiales; Linaceae.